GACGAACGCUGGCGGCGUGCUUAACACAUGCAAGUCGAACGGAAAGGCCCCCACUUUUUUGGUGGGGGUGCUCGAGUGGCGAACGGGUGAGUAACACGUGGGUGAUCUGCCCUGUACUUCGGGAUAAGCUUGGGAAACUGGUUCUAAUACCGGAUAGGACCAUGGUUUAGUGUCUCAUGGUGGAAAAAUUAUUGUUUUGGUGCAGGAUGAGCUCGCGGCCUAUCAGCUUGUUGGUGGGGUAAUGGCCUACCAAGGCGUCGACGGGUAGCCGGCCUGAGAGGGUGGACGGCCACAUUGGGACUGAGAUACGGCCCAGACUCCUACGGGAGGCAGCAGUGGGGAAUAUUGCACAAUGGGCGCAAGCCUGAUGCAGCGACGCCGCGUGGGGGAUGACGGCCUUCGGGUUGUAAACUCCUUUCGUUAGGGACGAAGCCGCACAUUUUUGGGGUGUGGUGACGGUACCUUUGUUAAGAAGCACCGGCUAACUACGUG
RNAcentral lists this ribosomal RNA (492 nucleotides) under uncultured bacterium. RNAcentral describes it as "partial 16S ribosomal RNA". It matches the Rfam family "Bacterial small subunit ribosomal RNA", at positions 28 to 507 of the family's 1533-position model. The record is from RNAcentral.